Unclassified non-coding RNA from Macaca nemestrina (pig-tailed macaque), 104 nucleotides. It matches the Rfam family "Y RNA". Rfam says of the family: Y RNAs are components of the Ro ribonucleoprotein particle (Ro RNP), in association with Ro60 and La proteins. The record is from Ensembl. NCBI's taxonomy places the organism in Eukaryota, Metazoa, Chordata, Mammalia, Primates, Cercopithecidae.
UACUGAUAACUGGUAGUGACUUAUCCCAAUAGAUGGUUCAGAGUCAGUUACAGAUCAAACUCCUUGUUCACUCCCCUUUCACUACUGCACUUAGCUAGUCUUAA